AUUGAACGCUGGCGGCAUGCCUUACACAUGCAAGUCGAACGGCAGCGCGGGCUUCGGCCUGGCGGCGAGUGGCGAACGGGUGAGUAAUGCAUCGGAACGUGCCCAGUAGUGGGGGAUAGCCCGGCGAAAGCCGGAUUAAUACCGCAUACGACCUGAGGGUGAAAGCGGGGGACCGAAAGGCCUCGCGCCAUUUGAGCGGCCGAGGUCGGAUUAGCUAGUUGGUGGGGUAAAGGCUUACCAAGGCGACGAACCGUAGCUGGUCUGAGAGGACGACCAGCCACACUGGAACUGAGACACGGCCCAGACUCCUACGGGGGGAAGCGGUGGGGAAUUUUGGGCAAGGGGGGCAAGCCUGAUCCAGCCAUGCGGCGUGCGGGAUGAAGGCCUUCGGGUGGUAAACCGCUUUUGUUCGGGAGGAAGUCCUCUGGGCUAAUACGCCGGGGGGAUGACGGUACCGGAAGAAUAAGCCCCGGCUAACUACGUG
Molecule: ribosomal RNA, 484 nt
Filed under: uncultured bacterium
Lineage: Bacteria
Description: partial 16S ribosomal RNA
Rfam family: Bacterial small subunit ribosomal RNA
Source: RNAcentral